GAUGAACGCUGGCGGCGUGCCUAACACAUGCAAGUCGAGCGAAGCGCCUUACUUGAUUUCUUCGGGAUGAAAGUAUUGUGACUGAGCGGCGGACGGGUGAGUAACGCGUGAGGAACCUGCCUCGGAGUGGGGAAUAACAGCCCGAAAGGGUUGCUAAUACCGCAUGAUGCAGCUGGGUCGCAUGACCCUGGCUGCCAAAGAUUUAUCGCUCUGAGAUGGCCUCGCGUCUGAUUAGCUAGUAGGCGGGGUAACGGCCCACCUAGGCGACGAUCAGUAGCCGGACUCAGAGGUUGACCGGCCACAUUGGGACUGAGACACGGCCCAG
Molecule: ribosomal RNA, 325 nt
Filed under: uncultured bacterium
Lineage: Bacteria
Description: bacterial SSU rRNA
Rfam family: Bacterial small subunit ribosomal RNA
Source: RNAcentral